This is a long non-coding RNA of Carassius gibelio (silver crucian carp), 2181 nucleotides long. RefSeq lists it as uncharacterized. Lineage: Eukaryota; Metazoa; Chordata; Actinopteri; Cypriniformes; Cyprinidae. The record is from RefSeq and is a predicted model, not a curated record. The transcript has 4 exons.
GGGUUUAAAAAGACUGACAAAAUGUAGCUUGGAUUGUGAAGGGGGACAAAUCUAGUAAUAUAGUCAAACAGAGUGGGAGAGUGAGAAAGGGGGGAGAGAGAGAGAGAGAGUGAACAGUCGAAACAGUGAACGGUGGGGAAUCUUGGGCAAAGGAGGUAAGACAGGAUAUGAAAACAAUGGACUCAUUGUAGAGAGAUGAUAGAAGGAUGAGAAGGAGAUCGGUGGAACACAGCACCAUCUACAGGCUGAUAGAGCACACCAUAAGAUGAUCGCAUGAAGACGACCAGAAGUGGUUGCAACACGAGAAAGAGUGACUCACUUUGAAACCCUCUUUGACGUGUUUCCACAUAAAAGGCUUCGACAAACAAGAGAGAGGUGACCGUUUUGUAGCCCCACCACCUUUCCUGUGCCAAAAAUGCCAACUGUAACAACAAAGAGUGGCAGAUGCCAAGGGAAUCCCAGACGAAUGACCUCCGUGAAGCCGGCCUACCAAAGAGAAGCAAAUAUUUACCCUGCGUGUUUGAACCCAUGGCACAGUGCCACGGCUGCCCCUCAGAGUGCAUACCGGCCCGAUAGGCUUACUCGUCCUCUAACUUUACUCCCUGGGUACUCCCCUAUAUGACGCCAGAAAAAUCUUCUCAGUUUUCAACCAUCAUAUCAUAGAGUGGGUCAUGACAGAAAGGGUCCAGCACAUCCCAGAGCUCAGCCGCCCUGAGACCAAAGUCUCCUUAUGGGACACUAACUUCAAAGUCCAUUUUGGAAGGACUGAUCUGAAGAAGACGAACCGGUCUCUGAUAACCAACAGAGCAGUCGGGAUCAGUGGAGAAGCCACCAAAUGAGAUCUCCUGGGCAUCAAACACACACAAUACAUAAAAUAUGUGCAUAUCAUAUUAAUGUGCUGUUCUAUUCUUCUGUUGAGGUGAAGCUGGAAGGAAUAUGCUGGCUGUCUUGACUGUGCAUGAUUUACUCUAUAGUAAACAGUUUUGCAUGGAAAACAUAUUGGCUCUAGUUUUGCGCGACUCUUUGACUCAGACUCUCCUCUUGGAAGAAUUUGCAGGUCAUACCAGGAUGCAAAACUGCACAUCUGACCCACCUGUGCACUCCAUGACCCCAUAACCCAUCAUCCUCCAUCAGAUUAGCAUGUCCACUCCAAGAAAUGAGCUCUCAAAUCAGCAUUUAAUCCGUCAGGAGAACAACAACAACGGCAGUGUGGUGCAAUAUAGAACAGAUGUGCAAGAUCUAUGACAAGAAAAUACCUUGAUGCUAUGUGUCAGCCAUCAUUUAAAAACAAAUAAAUAAAUCAGACUCAAUCUGAUAAAAGGGCCCAGAAUAGGUGCGUUGGAAAUUGAGAAACUCUGAAAAUCUUUCAGAUGUCUGUCUGCAUUAGGCUAUUGUCCUUUAAUCUGACUCCCACCAUGCUGGAUUGAAAUCCCUGUGUCCUGUAGGAGCAAUCAUCAGCUACAUUAUGGGGAAGGGGAGGUUAAGAGGCAAAAUGGAGAUGCGAACAAUGUGUUAAGCUCUGUCAAAAAAAAGAAAAAAAAAGAAAAGAGGAUUGCAGUGGAUAUUGAAUCAAUCACUAGAGCUACUGACUUUAUGACUCUACUAAGCUUGUUCUACUAGAUAGACAGGUGCUAUUGUUUUGAGAACAGCGAUCCAGGGUGAAAUGUUUGAAAAAUUCUUCAAUGGUAAACAAAAAGUAACUUUUUUCCUGAAAUAUUCCACAUCAAGCUCCAUGUCGAAAAUGCAUGACUCCAGGAGUUGGCAUGCGGCAGCGGUUCCAGCCUGCUCAGCCCACGCCGUCUCUAAAGACCCUUAAACCAAAGCAAACGUUUCAACAACAUUUCCAUCCAUUCCUGCUCUAACAGUGUGAUGAGAGCAGGUUAAAGCUGUAAGCCAUCAAAGUCUGCCGAGCAGCGUGCCCUGUUUGAAACUCAUCUGGAUCCCCCAUAAACACUCCACUGCUAAUUGGCUGCACAUGUGGCACUGAGUGCAUUUUAGCAUGCGUUAGUGUGUGUGUGCCACAGCGUUGUAGAACGUGCAUGCGUGUGUUGGCAUACAACAUGGCUUAUCAGUCUGAUCAAAGACAGCCUUUCCUUAAACCGUCUGCAAUAUGAAAGGCACACAAAGGCAGGAAUAGCUUCAUGGUAAAUAUCUGAUCUGGAGAGUAAUUGGUACCUGUCU